GAGAUGCGAUAAGUAAUGUGAAUUGCAGAAUUCAGUGAAUCAUCGAAUCUUUGAACGCACAUUGCGCCCCCUGGUAUUCCGGGGGGCAUGCCUGUUCGAGCGUCAUUUCACCACUCAAGCCUCGCUUGGUAUUGGGCGACGCGGUCCGCCGCGCGCCUCAAAUCGACCGGCUGGGUCUUCCGUCCCCUCAGCGUUGUGGAAACUAUUCGCUAAAGGGUGCCGCGGGAGGUCACGCCGCAAAACAACCCCAUUUCUAAGGUUGACCUCGGAUCAGGUAGGGAUACCCGCUGAACUUAAGC
This 299-nucleotide unclassified non-coding RNA is filed under the name plant metagenome. RNAcentral's name for it is "partial contains 5.8S ribosomal RNA, internal transcribed spacer 2, and large subunit ribosomal RNA". The stretch from base 1 to 105 matches the Rfam family "5.8S ribosomal RNA", at positions 50 to 154 of the family's 154-position model. The record is from RNAcentral.